RNAcentral lists this microRNA (22 nucleotides) under Drosophila virilis. RNAcentral describes it as "dvi-miR-9708c-5p". The record is from miRBase by way of RNAcentral. Lineage: Eukaryota; Metazoa; Arthropoda; Insecta; Diptera; Drosophilidae.
UGAGCACAGCUAAACAUAUAAU